Molecule: ribosomal RNA, 466 nt
Filed under: Vreelandella stevensii
Lineage: Bacteria; Pseudomonadati; Pseudomonadota; Gammaproteobacteria; Oceanospirillales; Halomonadaceae
Description: partial 16S ribosomal RNA
Rfam family: Bacterial small subunit ribosomal RNA
Source: RNAcentral
CCUACGGUGGGGCUGCAGUGGGGAAUAUUGGACAAUGGGCGAAAGCCUGAUCCAGCCAUGCCGCGUGUGUGAAGAAGGCCUUCGGGUUGUAAAGCACUUUCAGUGGGGAAGAAAGCCUUGGGGCUAAUACCCUCGAGGAAGGACAUCACCCACAGAAGAAGCACCGGCUAACUCCGUGCCAGCAGCCGCGGUAAUACGGAGGGUGCGAGCGUUAAUCGGAAUUACUGGGCGUAAAGCGCGCGUAGGCGGUCUGAUAAGCCGGUUGUGAAAGCCCCGGGCUCAACCUGGGAACGGCAUCCGGAACUGUCAGGCUAGAGUGCAGGAGAGGAAGGUAGAAUUCCCGGUGUAGCGGUGAAAUGCGUAGAGAUCGGGAGGAAUACCAGUGGCGAAGGCGGCCUUCUGGACUGACACUGACGCUGAGGUGCGAAAGCGUGGGUAGCAAACAGGAUUAGAUACCCGAGUAGUC